AAUUAGGAUAGUUUAAAGAAAACACUGAUUUGUGGUAUCAGAGAUAAGCAAUGCUUCCCUAAUUA
This 65-nucleotide transfer RNA is filed under the name Notomastus sp. GK-2021. RNAcentral describes it as "tRNA-His". The record is from RNAcentral. Lineage: Eukaryota; Metazoa; Annelida; Polychaeta; Capitellidae.